Molecule: transfer-messenger RNA, 397 nt
Filed under: bovine gut metagenome
Rfam family: transfer-messenger RNA
About the family: Bacterial tmRNA, also known as 10Sa RNA or SsrA, is named for its dual tRNA and mRNA-like properties. Its role is to liberate the mRNA from a stalled ribosome.
Source: RNAcentral
GGGGAUGUUUUGGUUUUGACAGCAUCGAUUCUGGACAGUAAGCACGCCGGGCGCCGGAAGCCUGCCCGUAAAUCUCGGUUUUCAAACAAUCAGUUGCCAACAACAACUACGCACUCGCUGCUUAAUUUGACUCAGUCAAAUGGCUUAAUCCGCGUCGCCUAGGCUGCGACGCCGACGAGUAUCCCUCGGACUUUCCGCCCGCUCUGUUCCGGCCCAGGGGUAUCAUUUAAGCGGGACGCACCGGUGGACGCUUCUACAGCCGGCUAAGAUUUAGAAGCUAAGGAUUCGGAUCGCCCGUCUUCCGGCAGCCCGGUCCCUACAACCAAAGGAAGAAUAAGCGUGUAGAAAGCUCUCUGGUGCGGUGUUUGGACGGCGGUUCGAGUCCGCCCAUCUCCAC